RNAcentral lists this long non-coding RNA (207 nucleotides) under Lathyrus oleraceus (garden pea). Its description in RNAcentral is "Pisum sativum (pea) long non-coding RNA (PSAT_LNC019288)". The record is from RNAcentral. Lineage: Eukaryota; Viridiplantae; Streptophyta; Magnoliopsida; Fabales; Fabaceae.
AUCUCUACACAGAUAUCCCUUACUAUCCAACCAAUUCUUCAAUGUAGCAUGGAUAGACUCAACUUGGUUUGUUGUUAUAUUCCCAAGGUGUCUAACCUGAUCGGUCCAUGCACAAAAAAAAUUCUCCUUCACCUAGUCCAAAGUUGUGCUUUUAACACAUUUCAACAAAAUAUGGAUAUUUAUCGCACACCUUCCUGAAAUGUAUAA